AGGACAACGAAGGAUGCAGAGGGGACCCUUCAGUUUUAUGGUGUUCAAGAACUAUUGUUUCUCCGGACAUGAGGUUGCCUCCCGUCAAAAAUAAUGACCUCAGCUUGGAGCUGCAGGUAUUACAGCCAACACAUGUUGAUCUAUGAACUGGCCACUCUGUUCCUGCAUCUGGCAAGUAAGAUGUUGCAUACAAAAACUCAUAGUCAUAAAAUGUUUCAUCGUAUCUA
Long non-coding RNA from Lacerta agilis (Sand lizard), 227 nucleotides. RefSeq lists it as uncharacterized. The transcript is spliced from 3 exons. The record is from RefSeq and is a predicted model, not a curated record. Lineage: Eukaryota; Metazoa; Chordata; Lepidosauria; Squamata; Lacertidae.